UCUGAAACCUGUUUUAUCUUGGGUCUCAGUUCCCUCUAAGCUACGUAUUUUCAUGUUUUAGAGUCAGAAGAUUAAUCUCCUUGACAGAAAAGAUGGAACUGAGGUCAAAAUAGAAGUUGAGUUCUACUAAUGUCACACUGCUGGCACAAAGGGCAGUGCCCUUCCUGCUCUUCUUGCUCUGAACUUUCCUUUCAGCCCGGGCUGGCAAUCGGUUUUCUCCAGCGUCUCAGGAACGUGUCAAACGUGGGCGUCCUGUUGGAAGCACGCUGUUGCAAGUUUGUCAUCUAGUGGUGGAAGGGCACUGAGCUGGAAUCCUGGGUCUGGAGUCAAUGAGAUGUCCAGAACAGGCAGGACUGAACCAGGUACCAGGAGCUUUGCACUCAGAGGAAGAGGCACCUAAAAAAGCGAGGACCAAACCAAACCGUGGUUGACCUAUACAAUGGGACAUGAUUCCGCCUUAAAAAAGGAACACGAGGACAUUGUGCUAAGUGAAAUAAGCCGGUCACAAAAGACAAACACUGUCUGAUUUCACUUAUCCAGGGUGGUCAAAUUCAUAGAAAUGGAAAGUAGAAUGCUGAUUGCCAGGGGCUGGGGGAAGGAGGGAAUGGGGAGUUAUUUAUUGAGUACAGUGUUUCUGCUGGUGGAAAUGAAAAGGUUCUGGAGAUUCAUUACUGAUAUGGUUUGGCUGUGUCCCCACUCAAAUCUCAUCUUGAAUUCCCAUGUGUUGUGGGAGGGACCCAGUAGGAGGUAACUUUCCCAUGCUGUUCUCAUGAUAGUGAAUAAGUCUCACAAGAUCUGAUGGUUUUUAAAAGGGGAAUUUCCCUGCACAAGCUCUCUUUGCCUGCCGCCAUCCAUGUAAGAUGUGCCUUUGCUCCUCCUUGCCUUCCGCCAUGAUUGUGAGGCCUCCCCAGCCAUGUGGAACUGUAAAUCCAUUAAACCUCUUUUUCUUCCCAG
Molecule: long non-coding RNA, 954 nt
Filed under: Homo sapiens (human)
Lineage: Eukaryota; Metazoa; Chordata; Mammalia; Primates; Hominidae
Description: HSALNT0241675
Source: RNAcentral